GGCGACAUAGCCAAGCGGUAAGGCAGAGGUCUGCAAAACCUCCAGCCCCGGUUCGAAUCCGGGUGUCGCCU
RNAcentral lists this transfer RNA (71 nucleotides) under Bacillota bacterium. RNAcentral's name for it is "Firmicutes bacterium (hot springs metagenome) tRNA-Cys". It matches the Rfam family "tRNA". From Rfam's summary of the family: Transfer RNA (tRNA) molecules are approximately 80 nucleotides in length. Their secondary structure includes four short double-helical elements and three loops (D, anti-codon, and T loops). The record is from RNAcentral. Lineage: Bacteria; Bacillati; Bacillota.